RNAcentral lists this ribosomal RNA (253 nucleotides) under uncultured bacterium. RNAcentral describes it as "partial 16S ribosomal RNA". It matches the Rfam family "Bacterial small subunit ribosomal RNA", at positions 524 to 776 of the family's 1533-position model. The record is from RNAcentral.
UACGGAGGGUGCAAACGUUGCUCGGAAUCAUUGGGCGUAAAGCGCACGUAGGCGGUCCGUUAUGUCGGGUGUGAAAGCCCUCGGCUUAACCGAGGAAGUGCAUUCGAAACUGGCGGACUUGAGUACCGGAGAGGGUCGCGGAAUUCCCGGUGUAGAGGUGAAAUGCGUAGAUAUCGUGAGGAAGACCAGUGGCGAAAGCGAAUCUCUGGACAGAUCCUGACGCUGAUGCACGAAGGCUAGGGGAGCAAACGGG